AUUGAACGCUGGCGGCAGGCCUAACACAUGCAAGUCGAGCGGAUGAAGGGAGCUUGCUCCUGGAUUCAGCGGCGGACGGGGGAGUAAUGCCUAGGAAUCUGCCUGGUAGUGGGGGAUAACGUCCGGAAACGGGCGCUAAUACCGCAUACGUCCUGAGGGAGAAAGUGGGGGAGCUUCGGACCUCACGCUAUCAGAUGAGCCUAGGUCGGAUUAGCUAGUUGGUGGGGUAAAGGCCUACCAAGGCGACGAUCCGUAACUGGUCUGAGAGGAUGAUCAGUCACACUGGAACUGAGACACGGUCCAGACUCCUACGGGAGGCAGCAGUGGGGAAUAUUGGACAAUGGGCGAAAGCCUGAUCCAGCCAUGCCGCGUGUGUGAAGAAGGUCUUCGGAUUGUAAAGCACUUUAAGUUGGGAGGAAGGGCAGUAAGUUAAUACCUUGCUGUUUUGACGUUACCAACAGAAUAAGCACCGGCUAACUUCGUG
RNAcentral lists this ribosomal RNA (484 nucleotides) under uncultured bacterium. RNAcentral describes it as "partial 16S ribosomal RNA". It matches the Rfam family "Bacterial small subunit ribosomal RNA", at positions 30 to 507 of the family's 1533-position model. The record is from RNAcentral.